GACGAACGCUGGCGGCGUGCUUAACACAUGCAAGUCGAACGGAAAGGCCCUUUCGGGGGUACUCGAGUGGCGAACGGGUGAGUAACACGUGGGUGAUCUGCCCUGCACUUCGGGAUAAGCCUGGGAAACUGGGUCUAAUACCGGAUAUGAUCAUGCGCCUCAUGGUGUGUGGUGGAAAGCUUUUGCGGUGUGGGAUGGGC
RNAcentral lists this ribosomal RNA (200 nucleotides) under uncultured bacterium. RNAcentral's name for it is "partial 16S ribosomal RNA". It matches the Rfam family "Bacterial small subunit ribosomal RNA", at positions 28 to 230 of the family's 1533-position model. The record is from RNAcentral.